This 815-nucleotide ribosomal RNA is filed under the name uncultured bacterium. RNAcentral's name for it is "bacterial SSU rRNA". It matches the Rfam family "Bacterial small subunit ribosomal RNA", at positions 8 to 796 of the family's 1533-position model. The record is from RNAcentral.
AGAGUUUGAUCAUGGCUCAGAACGAACGCUGGCGGCGUGGAUAAGACAUGCAAGUCGAACGCUGAUUUCAGGGUAGCAAUAUUCUGGAGUCGGAGUGGCGCAAGGGUGCGUAACACGUGGGUAAUUUACCGUAAAGUCUGGGACAACUUGCUGAAAGGCAAGCUAAUACCGGAUGUGAUUGUUUGGGGGCAUCUCCGGACAAUUAAAGUUGGGGACCGUAAGGCCUGACGCUUUUCGAUAAGCCCGCGGCCUAUCAGCUAGUUGGUAAGGUAACGGCUUACCAAGGCUAAGACGGGUAGCUGGUCUGAGAGGACGACCAGCCUCACUGGAACUGAGACACGGUCCAGACACCUACGGGUGGCAGCAGUCGAGAAUUUUUCUCAAUGGGCGAAAGCCUGAAGGAGCGACGCCGCGUGGGGGAUGGAGGGCUUCGGUCCGUAAACCCCUGUCAUUUGCGAACAAACCUUUUUACUUAACACGUGGAAAGCUGAUUGUAGCGAAAGAGGAAGGGACGGCUAACUCUGUGCCAGCAGCCGCGGUAAUACAGAGGUCCCAAGCGUUGUUCGGAUUCACUGGGCGUAAAGGGUGCGUAGGUGGUUGAUUAAGUUUGAUGUGAAAUCUCCGAGCUCAACUCGGAAACUGCAUUGAAUACUAUUCGACUAGAGGUUUGGAGGGGGGACUGGAAUUCUCGGUGUAGCAGUGAAAUGCGUAGAUAUCGAGAGGAACACCAGUGGCGAAGGCGAGUCCCUGGACAACACCUGACACUGAGGCACGAAAGCUAGGGGAGCAAACAGGAUUAGAUACCCCCGUAGUCC